RNAcentral lists this non-coding RNA (89 nucleotides) under Salipaludibacillus aurantiacus. RNAcentral describes it as "GEMM cis-regulatory element". It matches the Rfam family "c-di-GMP-I riboswitch aptamer". From Rfam's summary of the family: GEMM was predicted in a large-scale screen for bacterial structured RNA regulatory elements. Genes associated with GEMM are involved in a diverse array of functions, including chemotaxis regulation, signal transduction, secretion and chitin. The record is from RNAcentral. Lineage: Bacteria; Bacillati; Bacillota; Bacilli; Caryophanales; Bacillaceae.
ACUAGUUAAAGGCAAACCUGUUGAAAAGCAGGGACGCAAAGCUACGGGUCUAAGGGCUGGGAAACGCCUAAGAUCGCCGGGCCGCCUAU